RNAcentral lists this small RNA (839 nucleotides) under Leiopathes glaberrima. Its description in RNAcentral is "eukaryotic LSU rRNA". The stretch from base 404 to 557 matches the Rfam family "5.8S ribosomal RNA". Lineage: Eukaryota; Metazoa; Cnidaria; Anthozoa; Antipatharia; Antipathidae. The record is from RNAcentral.
CCGCCCGUCGCUACUACCGAUUGAAUGGUUUAGUGAGGCCUUCUGAUUGGCGCCGCCGCCCCGGCAACGGAGUAGCGGAUGUCGAAAAGUUGGUCAAACUUGAUCAUUUAGAGGAAGUAAAAGUCGUAACAAGGUUUCCGUAGGUGAACCUGCGGAAGGAUCAUUACCGAUCAUCCAAAAACCCGCAAGGGUUUGUACACUGUGAACUGUCUGAACCUUUUAAGGGGUCGGCUAAGGCCGUUAAAUGGCUCGGGGUGAGAAAAUGCGACCAGCCUCGUUGUUGAGCGUUUUUUUUCUUGCACCGGCAGCCCCGCCUUGUGAUUUCCAUAUAUUUGAUAAACGUAUCCGACUGAAGUGUGUGCCGACCGACCUGUCGGUUGGCGACGAAUCAAAAAAGGAUGACAACUUUUAACGGUGGAUCUCUUGGCUCGUGCAUCGAUGAAGAACGCAGCCAGGUGCGAUAAGUAGUGUGAAUUGCAGAAUUCAGUGAAUCAUCGAAUCUUUGAACGCAAAUGGCGCUCUUGGGUUCUCCCAGGAGCAUGUCUGUCUGAGUGUCGGCUUCCAAAGUAUCGCGCACCGUGCGCGCGCGCAGGCUUCACGUCUCGCGGCGUACGGGUUGGUGCGGCAUUGGGGAGUCACGGCAAUUGUCUGCCGUGUCCCUCGAAGUGCAGAGAGACCCGGUUGGUGCGGCGUUCAAGCCGGCGCGACCGCAGAGGCCAAAAUAUCACUGUCCUCUUUCGGCGCGACGGCCAACCGCUACCCAAGUGGUCGAAAAAGGCGAACAAAAGCAGCGGCAGCUUGCUUUCUUCCUUGACCUCAGAUCAGACAAGGCUACCCGC